CUGGUGGGUAUCCUGGCAAACAAUCAAAGCAUCAAGAAACUCGGUAGAAGGGUGGCGGAGACCAGUCAAAGAAAGAACCUCAAUGUGGUUGAUAUGGAGGAAUCCAUUUGGAGCAGAAUUGUUAUUGGUUCUCAGGAGUCUAUUUUGGUUAUGGUUAGCAAAGUCGCAAGGCAAUGAAUUAUCCUCAUCAUCAAAACUUGGGAUAUCGACAGCCGCCCCAGAAUGCACCC
Molecule: long non-coding RNA, 230 nt
Filed under: Elaeis guineensis (African oil palm)
Lineage: Eukaryota; Viridiplantae; Streptophyta; Magnoliopsida; Arecales; Arecaceae
Description: long non-coding RNA (EGUI_LNC030746)
Source: RNAcentral